Molecule: ribosomal RNA, 468 nt
Filed under: uncultured bacterium
Lineage: Bacteria
Description: partial 16S ribosomal RNA
Rfam family: Bacterial small subunit ribosomal RNA
Source: RNAcentral
GACGAACGCUGGCGGCGUGCUUAACACAUGCAAGUCGAACGGAAAGGCCCUGCUUUUGUGGGGUGCUCGAGUGGCGAACGGGUGAGUAACACGUGAGUAACCUGCCCUUGACUUUGGGAUAACUUCAGGAAACUGGGGCUAAUAUCGGAUAGGAGCUCCUGCUGCAUGGUGGGGGUUGGAAAGUUUCGGCGGUUGGGGAUGGACUCGCGGCUUAUCAGCUUGUUGGUGGGGUAGUGGCUUACCAAGGCUUUGACGGGUAGCCGGCCUGAGAGGGUGACCGGCGACAUUGGGACUGAGAUACGGACCAGAAUCCUACGGGAGGCAGCAGUGGGGAAUAUUGCACAAUGGGCGGAAGCCUGAUGCAGCAACGCCGCGUGCGGGAUGCCGGCCUUCGGGCUGUAAACCGCUUUCGCCUGUGACGAAGCGUGAGUGACGGUAAUGGGUAAAGAAGCACCGGCUAACUACGUG